RNAcentral lists this ribosomal RNA (253 nucleotides) under uncultured bacterium. Its description in RNAcentral is "partial 16S ribosomal RNA". It matches the Rfam family "Bacterial small subunit ribosomal RNA", at positions 524 to 776 of the family's 1533-position model. The record is from RNAcentral.
AACGUAGGACGCAAGCGUUAUCCGGAAUUACUGGGCGUAAAGGGCGUGCAGGCGGUUUCCUAAGUCAGGCGUGAAAGCCACGGGCUAAACCUGGGGAGGACGUUUGAUACUGGGGGACUAGAGUGUGGUAGAGGGGUGUAGAAUUCCGGGUGUAGUGGUGAAAUGCGUAGAUAUCCGGAGGAAUACCAGUGGCGAAGGCGGCACCCUGGGCCAUAACUGACGCUAAGACGCGAAAGCAUGGGUAGCGAACGGG